This 470-nucleotide ribosomal RNA is filed under the name uncultured bacterium. RNAcentral's name for it is "bacterial SSU rRNA". It matches the Rfam family "Bacterial small subunit ribosomal RNA", at positions 33 to 507 of the family's 1533-position model. The record is from RNAcentral.
CGAGGACGACGCUGGCGGCGCGCCUAACACAUGCAAGUCGAACGAGAGAUGAGGAGCUUGCUCUUCAAAUCGAGUGGCGAACGGGUGAGUAACGCGUGAGGAACCUGCCUCAAAGAGGGGGACAACAGUUGGAAACGACUGCUAAUACCGCAUAAGCCCACGGCUCGGCAUCGAGCAGGAGGGAAAAGGAGCAAUCCGCUUUGAGAUGGCCUCGCGUCCGAUUAGCUAGUUGGUGAGGUAACGGCCCACCAAGGCGACGAUCGGUAGCCGGACUGAGAGGUUGAACGGCCACAUUGGGACUGAGACACGGCCCAGACUCCUACGGGAGGCAGCAGGUGGGGAAUAUUGCACAAUGGGGAAACCCUGAUGCAGCGACGCCGCGUGGAGGAAGAAGGUCUUCGGAUUGUAAACUCCUGUUGUUGAGGAAGAUAAUGACGGUACUCAACAAGGAAGUGACGGCUAACUACGUG